GUAGACUGGAGGUAAUCAGACUGGAGCUAGUAGACUGUAGCUAGUAGACUGGAGCUAGUAGACUGGAGGUAAUCAGACUGGAGCUAGUAGACUGGAGCUAGUAGACUGGAGCUAGCUAGACUGGAGCUAGUAGACUGGAGCUAGCUAGACUGGAGCUAGUAGACUGGAGCUAGUAGACUGGAGCUAGUAGACUGGAGGUAAUCAGACUGGAGCUACUAGACUGGAGCUAAUAGACUGGAGGUAACCAGACUGGAGCUAGUAGACUGGAG
Molecule: long non-coding RNA, 269 nt
Organism: Oncorhynchus tshawytscha (Chinook salmon)
Lineage: Eukaryota; Metazoa; Chordata; Actinopteri; Salmoniformes; Salmonidae
Source: Ensembl